AGGAUAAUCAUUUCCAACGAACUAUAGAAAAGGACACUUCAGCGAAAUGUGAUGCUUUUGGCUUCUCUUUUUUUAUCAAAGAAGUGUUUGUGGUUGUACUCAAUUUAAAGCUUUUAAAGGACCAAACUUGUCAAUGCUGCCCAAACACUUUUCAAACCUAUUUAAACAAAAUUUCACACUAUCACAUGUAUUUUUAUAUACUUAGUUUUUCAAAAAUUCCAGUUG
Molecule: non-coding RNA, 225 nt
Organism: Schizosaccharomyces pombe (fission yeast)
Lineage: Eukaryota; Fungi; Ascomycota; Schizosaccharomycetes; Schizosaccharomycetales; Schizosaccharomycetaceae
Source: the annotation of a GenBank genome assembly